This 2478-nucleotide long non-coding RNA is filed under the name Helianthus annuus (common sunflower). Its description in RNAcentral is "hypothetical non coding rna". Lineage: Eukaryota; Viridiplantae; Streptophyta; Magnoliopsida; Asterales; Asteraceae. The record is from RNAcentral.
GCCAGCCGGCGCAUGUGUGCUCGCUAGUAAGCAGAGGGGUAUGCGCUAGCCGGCGCAUGUGUGCUCGCUCAUAAAGGGAGAAUGCGCGUAUCGCGACUUACGUGCUCGUAUGUAGAGCAGCAGACUCGCAUUGAGACUGAGAUGCUCGUAUGUAAAGGAGCAUACGCUCGUGGCGACUUACGUACUCGUAUGUAAAGCAGCAGGCUCGCACGAAGACUGAGAAGAUCGUAUGUAAAGGAGCAUGCGCAUAUGGCGACUUAAGUGAACGCAAGAGAGCAUGCGCGUACGGCGACUUACAUGCUCGUAUGUAGAGCAGCAGGCUCGCAAGGAGACUGGUGUGCUCGUAUGUAGAGCAGCAGGGGACGUACUCGUAUGUAAAGAAGCAUGCGCGUAUAGCGACUUACGUGCGUGUAUGUAAAAUAGCAUACUCGCAUAGAGACUGAGAUUCUCGUAUGUAAAGGAGCAUGCGCGCAUAGCGUCUUACGUGCUCGUAUGUAGAGCAGCAGACUCGCACGGUGUCUGAGAUGCUCAUAUGUAAAAGAGCAUGCGCGUAUGGCGACUUACGUGAACGUAAGUAAGGGAGCGUGCGAGUAUGGCGACUUACGUUUUCGUAUGUAGAGUAGCAGGCUCGUAAGGAGACUGGUGUGCUCGUAUGUAGAGCAGCAGACUCGCAUGGCGACUAAGAUGCUCGUAUGUAAAGGAGCAGGUGUGCUCGCUAGUAUGUAGAGCAUGUGCCGGCCGGCGCAUGUAUGCUCGGUUGUAAGUAGAGGCUUGCUCGUAACUAGAUGAGCAUGUGCCUACCAGCGCAUCUGUGAUCGCUCGCAAGUGGAGGCUCGCUCGUAAUUAGAGGAACAUGCGCCAGCCGGCGCAUGUGUGCUCGCUCGUAAGCAGAGGAGCAUGCGGCAGCCGGCACAUGUGUUCUCGCUCGUAAGUGGAGGCUCGCUCGUAAGGGGAGGAGCAUGCGCCUGCCAGCGCAUGUGUGCUCGUAAGUGAGUAGAGGAGCAUGCGCCAGCCGGCGCAUGUGUGCUCGCUCGUAAGUGGAGGCUUGUAAGUAAGCAUGUAGAGGAACAUGCGCGAGCCGGUGCAUGUGUGCCCACUAGUAAGCAGAGGGGUAUGCGCCAGCCGACGCAUGUGUGCUCGCUCAUAAGGGAGAAUGCGCGUAUGGCGACUUAUGUGCUCGUACGUAGAGCAGUAGACUAGCAUUGAGACUGAGAUGCUCGUAUGUAAAGAAGCAUGCGCGCGUGGCGACUUACGUGCGCGUAUGUAGAGCAGCAGGCUCGCACGGGGACUGAGAUGCUCGUAUGAAAAGGAGCAUGCGCGUAUGGCUACUUACUUGCUCGUAUGUAGAGUAGCAGGCUCGCAAGAAAACUAGUGUGCUCGUAUGUAGAGCAGCAGACUCGCAUGAAGACUGAGAUGCUUGUAUGUAAAGGAGCAGGUGUGCUCCUUCGUAUGUAGAGCACCAGGCUCGCAAGGAGACUGUUGUGCUCGUAUGUAGAGCAGCAGGCUGGCAUGGAGGCUGGCGUGCUCAUAUGUAAAGUAGCAUGCGCGUGUGGCGACUUACGUGCUCGUAUGUAAAGCAGUAGACUCACAUUGAGACUGAGAUGCUCGUAUGUAAAGGAGCAUGCGCGCAUGGCGUCUUACGUGCUCGUAUGUAGAGCAGCAGGCUCGCACGGUGACUGAGAUGCUCGUAUGUAAAGAAGCAUGCUCUUAUGGCGACUUACGUGAACGUAAGUAAGGGAGCAUGCGAGUAUGGCGACUUACGUGCUCGUAUGUAGAGCAGCAGGCUCGUAAGGAGACUGGUAUGCUCGUAUGUGGAACAACAGACUCGCCUGGAGACUAAGAUGCUCGUAUGUAAAGGAGUAGGUGUGCUCGCUCGUAAGUAGAGGCUUGCUCGUAAGUAGAGGAGCAUGCACCAACCGGCGCAUCUGUGAUCGCUCGUAAGUGGAGGCUCGCUCGUAAGCAGAGGAGCAUGCGCCAGCCGGCGCAUGUGCGCUCGCUCGUAAGCAGAGGGUCACUCGUAAGUAUGUAGAGUAGCAUGCGCCAGCCGGCGCAUGUGUGCUCCCUCGUAAGUGGAGGCUCGCUCGUAAGUAUGUAGAGGUGCAUGCGCCAGCCGGCGCAUGUGUGCUCCCUCGUAAGUGGAGGCUCGCUCGUAAGUAUGUAGAGGUGCAUGCGCCAGCCGGCGCAUGUGUGCUCGCUGGUAAGCCGAGGGGCAUGCGCCAGCCGGCGCAUAUGUGCUAGCUCAUAAGGGAGAAUGCGCGUAUGGCGACUUACGUGCUCGAAUGUAGAGCAGCAGACUCGCAAUGAGACUCGCAAUGAGACUGAGAUGCUCGUAUGCGCGUGUGGCGACUUACGUGCUCGUAUGUAGAACAGCAGGCUCGCACGGAGACUGAGAUGCUCGUAGGUAAAGGAGCAUGCGCGUAUGGCGACUUACGUGCUCGUAUGUAGAGCAGCAGGCUGGCAUGGAGGCUGGCGUGCUCG